This 334-nucleotide unclassified non-coding RNA is filed under the name soil metagenome. RNAcentral describes it as "partial contains 5.8S ribosomal RNA, internal transcribed spacer 2, and large subunit ribosomal RNA". The stretch from base 1 to 120 matches the Rfam family "5.8S ribosomal RNA", at positions 35 to 154 of the family's 154-position model. The record is from RNAcentral.
GAUGAAGAACGCAGCGAAAUGCGAUACGUAAUGUGAAUUGCAGAAUUCAGUGAAUCAUCGAAUCUUUGAACGCACAUUGCGCCUGCCAGCACUCUGGCAGGCAUGCCUGUUCGAGCGUCAUUUCAACCAUCAAGCCCUAGGCUUGCGUUGGAGCCCUGCGGCUGCCGCAGGCCCCUAAAAGCAGUGGCGGGCUCGCUAUCACACCGAGUGCAGUAGAUUACUCUUCACUCAGGGCGUGUGGCGGGUUCCAGCCGUGAAACCCCCUACUUCUCAAGGUUGACCUCGGAUCAGGUAGGAAUACCCGCUGAACUUAAGCAUAUCAAUAAGCGGAGGA